This 441-nucleotide ribosomal RNA is filed under the name uncultured bacterium. RNAcentral's name for it is "partial 16S ribosomal RNA". It matches the Rfam family "Bacterial small subunit ribosomal RNA", at positions 338 to 795 of the family's 1533-position model. The record is from RNAcentral.
CCUACGGGUGGCUGCAGUGGGGAAUAUUGCACAAUGGGCGAAACCCUGAUGCAGCAACGCCGCGUGAAGGAAGACGGUUUUCGGAUUGGAAACUUCUGUUCUUGGUGAGGUAUAAUGGCGGUAACUAAGAAUCAAGCCACGGCUAACUACGUGCCAGCAGCCUCGUUAAUACGUAGGUGGCAAGCGUUGUCCGGAAUUACUGGGUGUAAAGGGAGCGUAGGCGGGAAGCCAAGUCAGCUGUGAAAACUACGGGCUUAACCUGUAGACUGCAGUUGAAACUGGCUUGCUUGAGUGAAGUAGAGGUUGGCGGAAUUCGGAGUGUAGCGGUGAAAUGCGUAGAUAGUCGGAGGAACACCGGUGGCGAAGGCGGCCAACUGGGCUUUAACUGACGCUGAGGCUCGAAAGUGUGGGGAGCAAACAGGAUUAGAUACCCGUGUAGUC